Molecule: ribosomal RNA, 480 nt
Filed under: Pseudomonas sp. 01WB03.3-1
Lineage: Bacteria; Pseudomonadati; Pseudomonadota; Gammaproteobacteria; Pseudomonadales; Pseudomonadaceae
Description: bacterial SSU rRNA
Rfam family: Bacterial small subunit ribosomal RNA
Source: RNAcentral
UGAGCUUGAUCAUGGCUCAGAUUGAACGCUGGCGGCAGGCCUAACACAUGCAAGUCGAGCGGUAGAGAGAAGCUUGCUUCUCUUGAGAGCGGCGGACGGGUGAGUAAUGCCUAGGAAUCUGCCUAGUGGUGGGGGAUAACGUUCGGAAACGGACGCUAAUACCGCAUACGUCCUACGGGAGAAAGCGGGGGACCUUCGGGCCUCGCGCCAUUAGAUGAGCCUAGGUCGGAUUAGCUAGUUGGUGAGGUAAAGGCUCACCAAGGCGACGAUCCGUAACUGGUCUGAGAGGAUGAUCAGUCACACUGGAACUGAGACACGGUCCAGACUCCUACGGGAGGCAGCAGUGGGGAAUAUUGGACAAUGGGCGAAAGCCUGAUCCAGCCAUGCCGCGUGUGUGAAGAAGGUCUUCGGAUUGUAAAGCACUUUAAGUUGGGAGGAAGGGUAGUAACUUAAUACGUUGCUACUUUGACGUACCGACAG